AACGACUCUCGGCAACGGAUAUCUCGGCCCUCGCAUCGAUGAAGAACGUAGCGAAAUGCGAUACUUGGUGUGAAUUGCAGAAUCCCGUGAACCAUCGAGUCUUUGAACGCAAGUUGCGCCCGAAGCCAUUAGGCCGAGGGCACGCCUGCCUGGGCGUCACACGUC
This 165-nucleotide ribosomal RNA is filed under the name Prunus yedoensis (Yoshino cherry). RNAcentral's name for it is "5.8S ribosomal RNA". It matches the Rfam family "5.8S ribosomal RNA". From Rfam's summary of the family: 5.8S ribosomal RNA (5.8S rRNA) is a component of the large subunit of the eukaryotic ribosome. It is transcribed by RNA polymerase I as part of the 45S precursor that also contains 18S and 28S rRNA. Functionally, it is thought that 5.8S rRNA may be involved in ribosome translocation. The record is from RNAcentral. Lineage: Eukaryota; Viridiplantae; Streptophyta; Magnoliopsida; Rosales; Rosaceae.